AGCUUCGCAAAACGUUUGUUUUGCAUCAGCAACAGUAACUGUUGACGCCGGAGUGUUGAUACUUGUUGCUAGGCAACAAGGCUCAGUCUAACUACGGUAACGAAAGAGGUUCAAACUGAGUGAUAACAGCAUACUCAGAGUUUGUGCUCAUCUUCCUUGAGACUUCUCGGGGCUGGACAUGCAGUCUGUCAGCUGAGCGGGAGGCCUGCAGGUGGGAUCUAGCUUCAGGGCCGGUGCUGGGGCCAGGGCCUGCCUCUUCCCUCCACCUCUGCAGGGGGGACAUGAAACACACAGGAUUCCAUUUCAGUGAUACCAGACACUCUAUCUUGCGUGGGAACUGUUCGCUUUCAUGAUCUUCAGAAAAGCAGGACAACGAAGACAGUCUGGGAGUUUGAGCCAGUGUCCACGGACAAAUCCAGAGGAGCAGUUGUAGGUGCAGUUCAACACUAAAGGUUCUCCAACUGCUGCAUGGAUGACUUCAUGCUGUUUCUGCAGGUCGGUACAGGUUACUGAAUCUAAUGAGAAAGGCAUAAAUUAAGGCAACAAUUCUUCAGUCAGUAGGCCUUGGAUAUAAAUAUAUAGCUUGAGGACAUUUGAUUAUCAUCUUUUUGCCAGAAACCGAAAAC
Long non-coding RNA from Salmo salar (Atlantic salmon), 626 nucleotides. RefSeq lists it as uncharacterized. The record is from RefSeq and is a predicted model, not a curated record. Lineage: Eukaryota; Metazoa; Chordata; Actinopteri; Salmoniformes; Salmonidae.